UGCAAGUCGAGGGUAGAAUGUCUUCGGAUGUUUGAGACCGGCGCACGGGUGCGUAACGCGUAUGCAACCUACCCCUUACUGGGGAAUAGCCCGAAGAAAUUCGGAUUUAAUGCCCAUACUGCUCGUACGGCCUCAUGGUCGAGCGAGGAAAGCUCCGGCGGUAAGAGAUGGGCAUGCGUCCUAUUAGCUUGUUGGUGAGGUAAUGGCUCACCAAGGCUACGAUAGGUAGGGGGCCUGAGAGGGUGACCCCCCACACUGGUACUGAGACACGGACCAGACUCC
Molecule: ribosomal RNA, 282 nt
Filed under: unidentified marine bacterioplankton
Lineage: Bacteria
Also listed under: 1 other name
Description: partial 16S ribosomal RNA
Rfam family: Bacterial small subunit ribosomal RNA
Source: RNAcentral